RNAcentral lists this ribosomal RNA (1009 nucleotides) under Staphylococcus aureus. RNAcentral's name for it is "bacterial SSU rRNA". It matches the Rfam family "Bacterial small subunit ribosomal RNA", at positions 1 to 991 of the family's 1533-position model. Lineage: Bacteria; Bacillati; Bacillota; Bacilli; Caryophanales; Staphylococcaceae. The record is from RNAcentral.
UUUAUGGAGAGUUUGAUCCUGGCUCAGGAUGAACGCUGGCGGCGUGCCUAAUACAUGCAAGUCGAGCGAACGGACGAGAAGCUUGCUUUUCUGAUGUUAGCGGCGGACGGGUGAGUAACACGUGGAUAACCUACCUAUAAGACUGGGAUAACUUCGGGAAACCGGAGCUAAUACCGGAUAAUAUUUUGAACCGCAUGGUUCAAAAGUGAAAGACGGUCUUGCUGUCACUUAUAGAUGGAUCCGCGCUGCAUUAGCUAGUUGGUAAGGUAACGGCUUACCAAGGCAACGAUGCAUAGCCGACCUGAGAGGGUGAUCGGCCACACUGGAACUGAGACACGGUCCAGACUCCUACGGGAGGCAGCAGUAGGGAAUCUUCCGCAAUGGGCGAAAGCCUGACGGAGCAACGCCGCGUGAGUGAUGAAGGUCUUCGGAUCGUAAAACUCUGUUAUUAGGGAAGAACAUAUGUGUAAGUAACUGUGCACAUCUUGACGGUACCUAAUCAGAAAGCCACGGCUAACUACGUGCCAGCAGCCGCGGUAAUACGUAGGUGGCAAGCGUUAUCCGGAAUUAUUGGGCGUAAAGCGCGCGUAGGCGGUUUUUUAAGUCUGAUGUGAAAGCCCACGGCUCAACCGUGGAGGGUCAUUGGAAACUGGAAAACUUGAGUGCAGAAGAGGAAAGUGGAAUUCCAUGUGUAGCGGUGAAAUGCGCAGAGAUAUGGAGGAACACCAGUGGCGAAGGCGACUUUCUGGUCUGUAACUGACGCUGAUGUGCGAAAGCGUGGGGAUCAAACAGGAUUAGAUACCCUGGUAGUCCACGCCGUAAACGAUGAGUGCUAAGUGUUAGGGGGUUUCCGCCCCUUAGUGCUGCAGCUAACGCAUUAAGCACUCCGCCUGGGGAGUACGACCGCAAGGUUGAAACUCAAAGGAAUUGACGGGGACCCGCACAAGCGGUGGAGCAUGUGGUUUAAUUCGAAGCAACGCGAAGAACCUUACCAAAUCUUGACAUCCUU